UCGAACGAUGAAACCGCCCUCGGGCGGACAUGAAGUGGCGAACGGGUGAGUAACACGUGACCAACCUGCCCCUUGCUCCGGGACAACCUUGGGAAACCGAGGCUAAUACCGGAUACUCCUCGCCCCCCUCCCUGGGGGGCCCGGGAAAGCCCAGACGGCAAGGGAUGGGGUCGCGGCCCAUUAGGUAGUAGGCGGGGUAACGGCCCACCUAGCCCGCGAUGGGUAGCCGGGUUGAGAGACCGACCGGCCACAUUGGGACUGAGAUACGGCCCAGACUCCUACGGGAGGCAGCAUG
Molecule: ribosomal RNA, 295 nt
Filed under: uncultured bacterium
Lineage: Bacteria
Description: partial 16S ribosomal RNA
Rfam family: Bacterial small subunit ribosomal RNA
Source: RNAcentral